This is a long non-coding RNA of Lactuca sativa (garden lettuce), 1240 nucleotides long. RefSeq lists it as uncharacterized. The record is from RefSeq and is a predicted model, not a curated record. NCBI's taxonomy places the organism in Eukaryota, Viridiplantae, Streptophyta, Magnoliopsida, Asterales, Asteraceae.
UUCCAGCGGGAACAUGUUUUCCCCAAAAAUUACAAAACCCCGUUGUACUUGGUUUCCCUCCUAUCCUAUCGAAAAUUCCCACCCGUGACCUAAGUCCCUAAUCUCCAUGGCCGACGUCGCUAUUAAUACUGACUAUAGCCUCCAAAUCGUCGUCGUUCAGCCACAGCAACUCGCCACCGCUGCCUACGUCCAUUGCUUCUCGUCGUGUUCUACCCAGUCAUCAUCGAUUUAGGUACAAAAUGAAGCUUUAUCUAUGACUGAAUGGAAGUUGUCCUCUUUCUACUUUCCCUAAUCAUGCUCAAAUCACUCUUCUGCACGAAUCAUAAUCAGAUUCGAUUUCAGUUAAUCCAUUUCUAUCCCUAUACAAUCGAUCAUAGGUUUGCCCCGUCAAGAAUGUUUUUCAAUAUUUAUAUAAUACUUUGCCAGUUUAGAGAUGCACAACUAGUGCUCGACGAAAUGCCUGAAUAUAAUAUGUCUGCAACUCUGCCCUUCACCCCACCCCCGCUCCCUGUAUUGCCGAAAAAAGUAAUACACAUUACGAAAUUUUAGGUGUAAAACCACUUUCUAGAACUCGUUCUUUUUUCCAGGUCAAACCCCUGGUAAAAAAUAAGGACUUUUGAUUUAUAGUACCAGGUUGCUGCUUGCGUUGGUUUCUUCUUUGCACUUCCACAUUCCACAAUUUUUUGCGUGAACAGAGAAUAAGGAUACUUAUUUUACCAAGCAAGAUCCCAACAAAUAUCAUCCUUGUAUGCAUGAAUCCACAUGGUUAUGUUCACUUAAUCGAAUUUUUUGGAUUCGGGUAAUUUCUUGACCAAAAUUUUGGUCCCUUGAUCAUCUGUGAAGUUAUCAAGAACGAUGGAUUGAAGAUGUAGGUGGUUUUGUUCCGGUUCUCGGUUGUUUAUGUUGCUAGUAGCUGAGCAUGUGAUGGUACAGAACAUAUGCAAACAGGAAGGUGGGCAAUGGUGGUGUUUGGUGGUUGGAGUAAAAAUGAAUGGAGCAGAUAGUGGUAUUUGGCUGUUUAUGUAUUUAGCAAACAUACAGAUUGGAUUGGAUUACAACUCUAUUGAUCUCUCAAGCACCACAACAGAUUUAUGCAGUGAGUUCUGUAAAAGGCUUAAAGGGUUUCUUGCAACAUGGCCUCCUUCAAGUCCCCAACCUCAUAUCAAUGAACUUCUCAGAUCAAAGGGAUUUUUUAAUCAUAGUUUCAUGUUAUAAUGUUAUAUUUAUUAAGUUUUGUAAU